This 152-nucleotide unclassified non-coding RNA is filed under the name uncultured fungus. RNAcentral's name for it is "sequence contains ITS1". Lineage: Eukaryota; Fungi. The record is from RNAcentral.
UUCUGUCCUUCAAAAGCUCAGACACAGGUCAAUUUUAUGGCAUAGGGUCGGCGCCGAAGCGCCGAGGCACGACAUCGCUUCCACAGGUUUUGUGUGGUCAAAGGGCGGGGCCCUCAUCACUAAUGAUCCCUCCGCAGGUUCACCUACGGAGA